Molecule: small nuclear RNA, 152 nt
Organism: Cricetulus griseus (Chinese hamster)
Lineage: Eukaryota; Metazoa; Chordata; Mammalia; Rodentia; Cricetidae
Gene: U1
Rfam family: U1 spliceosomal RNA
About the family: U1 is a small nuclear RNA (snRNA) component of the spliceosome (involved in pre-mRNA splicing). Its 5' end forms complementary base pairs with the 5' splice junction, thus defining the 5' donor site of an intron.
Source: Ensembl
AUAUUACCCGGAAGGAGCGACAUAGUGAUCAUGAAAGUACCUCUCUUGGAGAGAAGCUUAUCCCUUGCCCUCCAGAUGUGCCAACCCUGUGAUUUCUCCAGCUGUGAGAAACUCAACUACAUAUUUUGUGGUAGUGUGAUCCAAUGGUCAUA